RNAcentral lists this ribosomal RNA (273 nucleotides) under uncultured prokaryote. Its description in RNAcentral is "partial 16S ribosomal RNA". It matches the Rfam family "Bacterial small subunit ribosomal RNA", at positions 524 to 796 of the family's 1533-position model. The record is from RNAcentral.
UACGGAGGAUGCAAGCGUUAUCCGGAUUCAUUGGGUUUAAAGGGUGCGUAGGCGGAAGAAUAAGUCAGUGGUGAAAGCCUGCGGCUUAACCGUAGAAUUGCCAUUGAUACUGUUUUUCUUGAGUAUAGUUGAAGUGGGCGGAAUGUGUAAUGUAGCGGUGAAAUGCUUAGAUAUUACACAGAACACCAAUUGCGAAGGCAGCUCACUAAGCUGUUACUGACGCUGAGGCACGAAAGCGUGGGGAGCAAACAGGAUUAGAAACCCCCGUAGUCC